This 1923-nucleotide long non-coding RNA is filed under the name Homo sapiens (human). Its description in RNAcentral is "HSALNT0194012". The stretch from base 969 to 1085 matches the Rfam family "Metazoan signal recognition particle RNA". The record is from RNAcentral. Lineage: Eukaryota; Metazoa; Chordata; Mammalia; Primates; Hominidae.
UCUGGCCCUACCGCGCUGGCUCUUGCGCAACUCUGGAGAAAAGGAUUUAUUUCUCCCAACCCCUCCCUCCCGGGGGAUUUCCGGAGUGCCGGGCCUCGCACCCCGAGGGCGCCCCCUCCGAGGUCCCGCCGCCGGCGCUUCGCAGCAGUGAGAGUGGCCACCGCGUGGUGACACCCAUGCCAUCCGGUCGCGCUGCUGCUGCGGGGGUCGGGCAGAAGUGUUCAAUGAGGUUCGCCAGGUCACGGGGCGCAGAUGUGGCUCCCACCUCAAUGGAGAGCGCAACUGGAGAAUAUUUCCUGGAAAUAAGAUUUCCCAGGCCGGGCGCCGUGAAUAGCCAUCACUUUGGGAGGCAUCCAAAAGCCAUCACCCCUGGAAUGCCACCACUUUGGGAGGCCGAGUUGGGAGGAUCGCUUGAACCCAAGAACUAGAGAUCAGCCUGGGUAACAUAGCGAAACCCCUCUUCUACAAAAAAAAAAAAAAAAAAUGAAAAAGAAAAAAAGCCGGUUCCAGUUACUCGGGAGACUGAGUUGGGAUGAUCACUUGAGCCUUGGGGGUCGAGGCUGCAGUGAGCCUUUAUCACACCACUUCACUCGGCCUGGGUGACAGAGCAAGACCUUGUCUCAAAAAACAAACAAACAAAAAAAAAACAAAAAAAACUCCCCUCCAGGUUCUGGAGUAGCCCAGACUCGGAGCCUUGGCCUAAGAUGAUUAAUAGUGACUUGAUACAUUUCAAGCCCUGUGAAAGGGAUUUGUGUUCUGGAGGCACUUAUAAUAUAAGCACAUGAUUUUGAUAGUUUAGGGAGUCUGAGCCCAACAUAUGUGGCCAAAAUUGUUGGGUCAUUGGUGACCAAAGAUAGGUUCCUUUCAGCCACAAACACAUUUCAUGGGCGCCAUGCUAGGCUACAAAGAUGAAAUAGUAAUAGUACCCUCAGGACGAGGACACUCAUAGAUCAAAAUAACAAAAUUAGGCCAGGCGUGGUGGCUCAUGCCUGUAAUCCUAGCACUUUGGGAGGCCAAGGUGGGUGGAUCACCUGAGGUCAGGAGUUCGAGACCAGCCUGGCCAACAUGGUGAAACCCCAUCUCUACUAAAAAUACAAAAAAUUAGUCAGGCAUCAUGGCUCACGCCUGUAAUCCCAGCUACUCAGGAGGCUGAGGCAGGAGAAUCGCUUGAACCUGGGAAAUGGAGGUUUUCUCAGUGAGCUGAGAUCACACCACUGCAUUUCAGCCUGGGUGAGAGAACGAGACUCUGUCUCAAAAAUAUAAAUAAAUAAAAACAAAAUUAUGUUAUGUGGUUUAUUAAAUGGAAAGGAGAGGAUUUUAAAAAGUAGAGACAUGCCCAGAGCUGAGGGCCAGGGGCCUGGGCUCAGAGGAAGGACCACGGAGGUUUUCUGACAGAUGACAUCAGAGUUUUCAAAAGGAAGUAAUUACUAACCAGGCAAAGAAAAAUAAGAUUAGCAUUCCAGGCCCAGAAAACAACUGGAGGAAAUGCAUACACAGAGCUUGCUUCCCUGGGACUAUGAAAGCACUUAAAUAAGUGUGAGGCAGCAAAUGGAGAGAGAAACAAAGAGGCAAAGUCACCAGAGUCCUGCUGAGAAUCUUGGAUUAUUUUUGGUAUUAAGGAGAAAGUAAGAACAUGGGCAGACUAGUAUUUCAAGAGAUCACUGUGGCCGUGGAGUGAGUGCCCGCCAUACAAAACAAAAUAGAAAAUUUAAAAUAAGGCUUUUUAAAAACCACAAAAGCUGGCCAGGCAUGGUAGCUCACAGUUCUGUAAUCCCGGCGCUUUGGGAGGCCGAAGCCUGGACAAUAUAGUGAGACCCGCAACCAUAUCUACAAAAAAUUUAAAAAUUAGCUGGGUGUGGUGUUGCAUAACCUGUGGUUCCAGCUACAUGAGAGGCUUACGUGGGAGGCUCACUUGAGCCCGGA